Molecule: ribosomal RNA, 253 nt
Filed under: uncultured bacterium
Lineage: Bacteria
Description: partial 16S ribosomal RNA
Rfam family: Bacterial small subunit ribosomal RNA
Source: RNAcentral
UACAGAGGGUGCAAGCGUUAAUCGGAAUUACUGGGCGUAAAGGGCGCGUAGGCGGAUAAUUAAGUUAGGUGUGAAAUCCCUGGGCUUAACCUGGGAACUGCAUUUAAUACUGGUUAUCUAGAGUAGAGUAGAGGGAUGCAGAAUUCCAGGUGUAGCGGUGAAAUGCGUAGAUAUCUGGAGGAAUACCGGUGGCGAAGGCGGCAUCCUGGACCGGCAUUGACGCUGAUGAGCGAAAGCUAGGGGAGCAAACGGG